GAUGGCCUUGCGGUGCAUUAGCUAGUUGGUGAGGUAACGGCUCACCAAGGCGACGAUGCAUAGCCGACCUGAGAGGGUGAUCGGCCACACUGGGACUGAGACACGGCCCAGACUCCUACGGGAGGCAGCAGUAGGGAAUCUUCCACAAUGGACGAAAGUCUGAUGGAGCAACGCCGCGUGAGUGAUGAAGGUUUUCGGAUCGUAAAACUCUGUUGUAAGGGAAGAACACGUACGAGAAGUAAUGCUCGUACCUUGACGGUACCUUACGAGAAAGCCACGGCUAACUACGUGCCAGCAGCCGCGGUAAUACGUAGGUGGCAAGCGUUGUCCGGAGUUAUUGGGCGUAAAGCGCGCGCAGGCGGCCUUUUAAGUCUGAUGUGAAAGCCCCCGGCUCAACCGGGGAGGGCCAUUGGAAACUGGAAGGCUUGAGUACAGAAGAGAAGAGUGGAAUUCCACGUGUAGCGGUGAAAUGCGUAGAGAUGUGGAGGAACACCAGUGGCGAAGGCGACUCUUUGGUCUGUAACUGACGCUGAGGCGCGAAAGCGUGGGGAGCAAACAGGAUUAGAUACCUUGGUAGUCCACGCC
RNAcentral lists this ribosomal RNA (585 nucleotides) under uncultured bacterium. RNAcentral's name for it is "bacterial SSU rRNA". It matches the Rfam family "Bacterial small subunit ribosomal RNA", at positions 224 to 801 of the family's 1533-position model. The record is from RNAcentral.